UCCGGUUUGUCACCGGCAGUCACCUUAGAGUGCCCAACCUAAUGCUGGCAACUAAGAUCAAGGGUUGCGCUCGUUGCGGGACUUAACCCAACAUCUCACGACACGAGCUGACGACAACCACGCACCACCUGUCAUCCUGUCCCCCGAAGGGGAACGUCCUAUCUCUAGGGCGGUCCGCCGUUGUCUAGCCCGGGUAAGGUUCUUCGCGUUGCGUCGAAUUAAACCACAUGCUCCACCGCUUGUGCGGGCCCCCGUCAAUUCCUUUGAGUUUUAGCCUUGCGGCCGUACUCCCCAGGCGGGGCACUUAAUGCGUUAGCUACGGCGCCGGGGGAGUCGACACCCCCAACACCUAGUGCCCAUCGUUUACGGCGUGGACUAC
This 379-nucleotide unclassified non-coding RNA is filed under the name uncultured bacterium. RNAcentral's name for it is "contains 16S-23S intergenic spacer region". The record is from RNAcentral.